RNAcentral lists this ribosomal RNA (539 nucleotides) under uncultured bacterium. Its description in RNAcentral is "bacterial SSU rRNA". It matches the Rfam family "Bacterial small subunit ribosomal RNA", at positions 356 to 896 of the family's 1533-position model. The record is from RNAcentral.
GAGGAAUAUUGGUCAAUGGACGGAAGUCUGAACCAGCCAAGUAGCGUGCAGGAUGACGGCCCUAUGGGUUGUAAACUGCUUUUGUAUGGGGAUAAAGUUAGGGACGUGUCCCUAUUUGCAGGUACCAUACGAAUAAGGACCGGCUAAUUCCGUGCCAGCAGCCGCGGUAAUACGGAAGGUCCAGGCGUUAUCCGGAUUUAUUGGGUUUAAAGGGAGCGUAGGCUGGAGAUUAAGUGUGUUGUGAAAUGUAGACGCUCAACGUCUGGAUUGCAGCGCAUACUGGUUUCCUUGAGUACGCACAACGUUGGCGGAAUUCGUCGUGUAGCGGUGAAAUGCUUAGAUAUGACGAAGAACUCCGAUUGCGAAGGCAGCUGACGGGAGCGCAACUGACGCUUAAGCUCGAAGGUGCGGGUAUCAAACAGGAUUAGAUACCCUGGUAGUCCGCACAGUAAACGAUGGAUGCCCGCUGUUGGUACCUGGUAUCAGCGGCUAAGCGAAAGCAUUAAGCAUCCCACCUGGGGAGUACGCCGGCAACGGUG